Molecule: long non-coding RNA, 1706 nt
Filed under: Homo sapiens (human)
Lineage: Eukaryota; Metazoa; Chordata; Mammalia; Primates; Hominidae
Description: HSALNT0357223
Source: RNAcentral
GUGAUUUCUUCUUAACUCCUAUGUCACUUCCACCUUGGCCUCCUGAGUAACUAGCUGCAUGCCACUAGGCCCAGCUUUAAAAAGCUUUUCUUGAUGUGGUUUACAUCUGUCCAUGUUUAUCAUAUUCAAAAUUAAAGCUGGGAAAAUUUAAAAGUAUUAAUUGAUUUUUAAAUAAUAAGUCAUUAUUUGCUAACAUAAGUACAUAUUUUAUGUAAAAUAAAAUAUAUUUUUCCAAAACAAAAUUAAGCAAAAAGAAUAGUAUUGUUUUAUACUUUGGCAAAUCUCUUUAAUUUCUGGUUUAACAGAAAGCUCAAUUCUCAUCUGCUUUGGUAUUGUCUGUUGCAGUAUCUUGUUUUGGUUUAAGUAUCCGAAUAACUUAGCCUUAUACCGAUGUGUGGUUGGAAAUGAGAAACAUAGCUUUUUCAAAUAACUGGAUAUUCUUCUUUGAUAUUACACCAAAACUUGACAGUAGUACUUUCUGAAAGGCUAGUUGCAAUGUAGAAUCUGGAACCAAAUCAAUGAACUCUAUGUAUUCCCUUAUAUUAAAUUCCAUUGUUCAUUUGUACUCUUGUUGAAUCUUUUACCCAUGAAUAAUAUUGAUCUUGCAGAUCCCCCUGAAAGGGUCUUACAUCCUCCAAAGGUCCAUGGACCAUACUUUGACAAAUGAUGAUUGAUUGGUUUACUUGUUCAUAGUUGGCUUCUUCCAACUCUACCCUCUAGAAGUAAGCUUUUAGAAGGAGCAGGAAUCGUGUUUAUUUGGUAACCCUUGAACUUAUCAUAAGAUCUAGCUCACUGAGGGUACUCAAUAAUCAUGAGUUCAAUGAAUGAACCUCUGUGAUUCUCCAAGGGGUGUCCUGUGAAGUCAUCUGUUAUUUCAUGGAGGUGGUUAAUGGUUCUAUGUGAUGUUGAUACUACAUCAACCAAUUUCUCCAGGUUUUAAAAAUCAAUGUCAUAUAGAUAAAUUCACUUAACACUAACUGGCUGCAAAAUCAUCAAAUUUUGCCCUUCAGAAACAGAUUGUGAUUUUCAAUGACCAAUAUUUAUUUCAGUAAUCAUUCAAUACAGUAUUACAAUAAUCCAAUGUCAAUACAUUUUAUGAACUCUGCAGUAUAAAAUGCUAUAUGUUGGAAACAAGUUUAUCUAACCAAAGAUUUAUGAAGCAGUUCUCUUUCUUUAAGGGUACAGUAUUGCUGGGUGCAACGACGUGCCUGUAGUCCCAGCUACUUGGGAGGCUGAGGCCAGAGGAUCACCUGAGCCCAGGAGUUCUGGACUGCAGAGAGCUGUGCCAAUCAGGUGUCAAGACUGGUCCAAAUCUUGGGUCAGACUCACAUUUGGAGAGUAUCGUCUCCAUGAGAGUCAGAAGAAAAUGGGCAAAGUAAUUGAGGAGGCGAGCUACAAGAUUUCCGAAGCUGACACUCCUGAAAUAUAAAGAUGAGGACUGAGGGACUCACUAACAAGGUGGCUGGCUCUCCCCAGAGUGAAUGAUUCCAGAGAAGGCCAGAAAGAGUCACUGCAUCUAAAACGGAACCUGCAGUAUUUUGUAACCUCAUCUCAAAAGUGACAAACCAUCACUUCUGUCAUAGUCUUGUCUUUAGAAGUCAGUCAAUUCAACCCACGUAGAAAAAGGGGAUUGCACAGCAAUCCCAUUACUGGUUAUAUACCCAGACAAAUAUAAAUCAUUCUACCAUAAAGACACACGCUUGUGA